This 1469-nucleotide long non-coding RNA is filed under the name Homo sapiens (human). RNAcentral's name for it is "HSALNT0364453". The record is from RNAcentral. Lineage: Eukaryota; Metazoa; Chordata; Mammalia; Primates; Hominidae.
GAGAUAAAUAGUUGGGAGCUAGAGCUCGCUAGAGAGUCUAAGAUUGAGCUAAAUAUUUCCUGAUCUCUCGAGAAAGGGGGAGGGGAGUGGGAGGAUUAAAUGUUCCUUCCUUCAGGGCAGUGGUUAGGCUUUCUCUCCACCAAAAUCUAACUUUAGCUGUAAAGAAGACUGCAGUUAUGUAGUACUUUGUAUCCAGGGAUCUCAAAGAACUUUACGCAUCAUUUAUUGUGAACCUUGUUUUGCAAAGAUUUCAGUUACUUGAGGCUUGGGAGGCGGAUAGGGGAUAAAUGUCUGAGUUAUAUAUAUAUUUACGCAAGUAAUCGAGUUUGAGGGGAGAGACACAAAACCUCUGGUUUAGCGGUUUCCUCUUGUUUGUGAAGCACCUUCUAGCAGUUAUCUUAGAGAUGUCUCCAGCGUACCAGGAUUUGUGAAGGCCUGAAGUUCGUAGAAUGAAAUCUAUGUGGAGAUGAUUUAAAAGAACGGUUUCACUGAGACCAACACAUAUAAACCAAGUCUACACAAGAAACAAAGCUAAAAUCCUUUCGAAAUGAGUUCCUUUAAGUUCUUCAGUAACUAAAUCCUCCAGAAAGGAAAGCCGAGAGAAUCUAGUCCUAUACAAUAACACCCUCUAACAAAGAUCGCUAAAGGAAGAUUUUAGUAGAUGAAUAUCUUCAAUAAUACAUGGUCACAUACAUGUAUCUGACCAUAUGAUGGCUCUCUGCACCAAAUUCCUCCAAACUAUUAUAAUAUGUAUUGUCUGUAGUGCUAUUUAUUUGGCAGUUAAUCAUGUAUUACAUUGUGACAUUUCUUACAGUGAACCAUUAUGUAUGUGUUUAUGUUCUGCCCUCAACUACUCAAUGCCAGUACCUUAUUCUUAACACAGCAACCACCCUUUCUGGUCUGUCCUCACACCCUCAUUCCCAUCAUAGUUAUUCUCCUCUCUCAUGGAAAUGUUCAGUUUCUGGACAUCUCCUUUCUCUUCCAUUCUUCACCUGACCUUCCUUCCUUUCUUGGCCAGCCUGAAUAUUAUAAAGGGAAUUUUAUUUCAAACCCAGGAUCGCACUUAAGAGGAAAAGAAACAAAAGCCAGUUCUUUUUAUUGCACAUAGAACAAGGAGAAACUCCACCCCUUUUGUUGUCUGGUAUGUUUAAAACAAGAAAGAACUUUAGAAAAGUAGGAUAUGAGUGAAAAUUACAACCAAUGUUGAGAACUACUUUUUAAUUUUUUAUUACAAAAUUAGGAUGAUACUUCAUUAAACAUUGUACAUCAUUUCAAAACUGUUAUCUCAUAAUCAUGUUGCUUGUUUUGAAUUAUUCUUUUAAAGUGUAAUUUUUUUAAGCAAAGAAUCCAUAAAAUUACAUGGCUUGGAUGUACCAUAACUUACUUAAUCCUUAUGCUAUUGUUUAAUAUGUGGGUUGUUUCAGAUUUUUCAUGAUUGUAAAUAACAAAAUAAACUUCCUUAUACUUAA